UGCUUUCGUGGGUACUGAGCAAUACACCUGCCAUGGCAUAGCUGCGUCCCCUAGCAAUGCUAGAGUAUACGUGUAAUUUGCUAACAG
Molecule: long non-coding RNA, 87 nt
Organism: Etheostoma spectabile (orangethroat darter)
Lineage: Eukaryota; Metazoa; Chordata; Actinopteri; Perciformes; Percidae
Exons: 3
Source: RefSeq, a predicted model, not a curated record